UUUGGGAGAACAUUAUACAGUUUAACAUUAAUCUUAUUGUUUUGUGAGGACGUCAGUCUGGAGUGAGGUGGGGUGAUCAUGUCAACAUACCUAGUAUUAUACUCAUGUCUAUUGCCAAGUGUCCCAUAGACAUCCGCGUUUUCGUGAAUAUACAGGAUGGAUCGGUAUAUAUAAGUAGAAGGCAGCGUCAUAACCUGGAAGUCAGAGAAAAUGGGCUUGCAGUGGGCAAUCGGGUUGGCACCGCAGAGGACCCGCACAGCCUUCUUUUGCAAACGAAAAGCUCUUUCCGUAUAUCCAACCCCACCCCAAAGCACAAUGCCAUAAGACAGCACACUAUGAAAAAGCCCAAAAUAGGCUAUCCUAAGGGCCGCCGGGGUUAGACAAUGGCUGAGAUGUCUCAGUAGGAACAGUCGCCGAGACAACGUUGCACAGACCUCAUGAAUCUGGCCUGACCAUGACAGAGUCCUGUCAAUUACGAAUCCCAAGAGGGUUAUAUUAUUUUGAUACAGAUAGUCGACUUUACUGCAGGAGAAGAAAACCAUUGCUGGAGAACAUUUGUUGCUACGCUGACAUCUUCACUAAGCAUUCAUUGAUGCUUAGCUGUUAACAGAAUGGCAGUGUCGUCAGCAAACAAGGUGACAUUCGCAUCUGGCACGGACAAUGGCAGAUCAUUUAUAUAAAUGAUGAAGAGCAACGGCCCAAGAACCGAGCCCUGUGGGACACCGCAGCUCACUGGAAGAGCAUCAUCACUCGACACUCCACCAAACUCGACAUACUGAAACCUGUUACUAAUAUACGAUUUUAUUAACUUUAGAGGGAUACCUCUGACGCCAUAAAAUUUUAAUUUGUUUAAGAGCACAUCGUGAUCGACGCAGUCAAACGCUUUCGUAAGGUCGUACAGAAGUGCCUUUGAUACGUCGCCAGCAUCGAAACCCCGCACCACACUGUUCACAAAGUGCAUAAGUGCGAUUCACACAGAAGUUUAUUUUCCUCAAAAAACAGUGACAGGCGAGCCUUCAGGGCUUUCUCAAUGACUUUACCGAAUAUAGGGGUAAUUGCAAUGGGCCUAAAGUUAUUUGGUAUCCGAAGGAAAUACGCCACUCGAAAACACUGCGUUCGUUAUGGCUGCCAGGGGACCCACGAUGUACUCAAUGGUGUGUUUCAAUAUUUUUGAAUUUAAGCCGAAGCAAUCGGUAGAACUUGAGUUGUUUAGACCCAUAAUAAUGCCAUACAUCUCACUCUCAGAGACCGGGCUUAAGAAGAAAGAUUUACACGGAGAGGGUGUUUUCGUAAGGUACACAUAUGGGUCACUGGAUUUCCCAAUGGAUGAUACUAGGUCAUUUACUACCUUGGAGAAGUAAGAGUUAAAUUCGUUGGGUGUGAUUGAGUUGGGUAUAGCCUUUGAGGCUCGGUUAGUUUCAUGGUUAAUCAAGGUCCAACAACUUUUGCUCAUGUUGCUGGCUCUAGUUAUAAAAUUGGCAUAUGCCUUGGAUUUUGUUUCUUUGAUCAUUCUUUUGUAGUUAGCAUUAGCCAGUCUAUACUCAGCCCAACUGUCGCGUGGGGAAAAUAUUCGACACUUGGCUUUUAAAAGCAUCACGUGAUCCCUCAUAAGUUUGAGGUCACGAUUGAACCAGACCACGGGGGAACGGAAGGAAUUACUGCGCUUUACGACUUUAAAGUGAUUCUGGAUAUUGGCGGUGAAGAUAUGAAGCAGUUCUUUUGUUGAGUUGGUCGGAUCGGCGUUAGUAUUAAUAAAAGGUUCCCAAUCGGUGCUCUCAAAACUUGUGCAGAGGUUAUUCAGACCCGCCUGGGUAAUUGGUCUGAAUUGAAUAUGGUCAUCGUGCACAGAGGAAACAUCAAAGUGUAAUUCCAUAAAAACAGCGGAAUGAUCAGAGAGUGCUGGAUCCUCAC
This is a long non-coding RNA of Cylas formicarius (sweet potato weevil), 1911 nucleotides long. RefSeq lists it as uncharacterized. The transcript has 3 exons. NCBI's taxonomy places the organism in Eukaryota, Metazoa, Arthropoda, Insecta, Coleoptera, Brentidae. The record is from RefSeq and is a predicted model, not a curated record.